Molecule: unclassified non-coding RNA, 346 nt
Filed under: soil metagenome
Description: partial contains 5.8S ribosomal RNA, internal transcribed spacer 2, and large subunit ribosomal RNA
Rfam family: 5.8S ribosomal RNA (bases 1-120)
Source: RNAcentral
GAUGAAGAACGUAGCAAAAUGCGAUAAGUAAUGUGAAUUGCAGAAUUCAGUCAAUCAUCGAAUCUUUGAACGCACAUUGCGCCCGCCAGUAUUCUGGCGGGCAUGCCUGUUCGAGCGUCAUUUCAACCCUCAAGCCCUCGGGUUUGGUGUUGGGGAUCGGCGAGCCUUUCUGGCAAGCCGGCCCCGAAAUCUAGUGGCGGUCUCGCUGCAGCCUCCAUUGCGUAGUAGUAAAACCCUCGCAACUGGAACGCGGCGCGGCCAAGCCGUUAAACCCCCAACUUCUGAAUGUUGACCUCGGAUCAGGUAGGAAUACCCGCUGAACUUAAGCAUAUCAAUAAGCGGAGGA